UUUGUGAGAGUCCUGUGCGGCCCUUACAUUCCUGUUGUCUGUGAUAUGGAGGUUGGUUCAGAAAACAGCAUAGCCUGGGUCUCUGUUGCCGGUUCCGUCUCAGAGGGAGCGAACCUGAGCUGGGUGGGAAGGCUGAAGCUGCUGCUUGGACCUGCCAUGCUGUACCGGCUGGGACAGGACCUCGAACGAAAGUACACUUGAACAUAGAUUAGAAUUGCCCGAGUAAGAAGGAUCCAGCCACAGGACUGAGAAGACCUUGGAACUUGGACCCUUCCCUAUUAAAUCCUUUGAAGUUCAGCAAUGACCAUCACCUGUGAGUCCCAAGACA
Mus caroli (Ryukyu mouse) is the source of this 328-nucleotide long non-coding RNA. RefSeq lists it as uncharacterized. The record is from RefSeq and is a predicted model, not a curated record. Lineage: Eukaryota; Metazoa; Chordata; Mammalia; Rodentia; Muridae.